GUGAGACUCUUGUUUACUGUAAAUGCCCCUUAUAAUAUCCUGAAUCAUGCAUGAAGUGCACUAAUAUUAGCUUUAAGACACUGACGUGAAUGUGCUGUAACCUUUCUUGUCCACAGUCAUGGAACUAAUUGCUAUUUACAGUGUUACAUAAAUGACAUUUUCCAUUGUAUGCGCUCAUCGCGGCUCCGUGCUUUGUUGCAGGCUCUGAAAAACGCCGCAGAAAUCCAUCUCGAGAGAGAUGAGAUGAGACGCAGAGGGGGGAAGCCCGGUCUGUAUGAGUCAUCACCUGCAUCGCUGCCUGGACGCCGAGACUGUCUGAGCCUGCUGAGAAUGACAAAGACCUCAGGACGUGAUUUUAAAUUAUUCCUGAAGAAUUUAAAUGUAAAGAUUUUAAAGGACAGACCAAUAGCUUUUCUCUAAAUCUCUAAAUCACUGGGUCGAAAAACUGACCCAGUUUGGAUAAAUAUAGCACAGACAUAACACUGGGUUAACUUCACUCAGUGUCAGUGACAUAUAUAUGUUGUUUUUUUAACCUAUACAUUUGGCCCAGUGUUCCACAAUAAGGUCAACUUUUACCAUAAAAACAGUUUUUACUUGCAUGACAUUCAAACCUGCAGAGCAUGCUCACAUUAUUUACAAUCAACACACAGUGACAAGCAGAAGCAGAGCUAGAGGAGUGAACAACAGGGGGUCGAUUUAAUGCAGUAUUGUCUUGACUCUAUAUUUCUAGUCUAGUUUUUCUUGUGUAAUAUUUUACAUUUGAUACAUCUGAGCGUAUCUUGGGACCGUAUUGACUAAAAAUACGUUAAAUUCUGUUUUUUUCUGUACACUGUCUGCAGGCCUGCAGCAAUCAGAGGAUCAGAGAGACUACAAAUAACAAAGCUGACUGAUAAUAACUAAAUAUGACUCGGCUUCCUGCACGUUGAGCGGAUGUGAGAAAACAGCGAAACCCACUUAACCAGUCGACAAACUGGGUCAGAGCUUUGUUAAGUGUGCCAGAGGAGCUGCCUGAAGGCCUCGUGCAUGGAUGUUUCUGUGCGGGCAUGAACAAGGUGCCAUAAAAAGUGAAUGAAAGCCGAGAUCCUCCGGGGUCGUCCCACAUCAAUAAUGACUGAACGCCUCAGCGACGUGCCCGUCGUGUACACAAGAAGACCUUGAAGCCAACUUAUGAUGACACACGGAGUCAGUACAUCAGCUCAAAAGCGGCUGUCACGGCUACAAAGAGACGUAUGGGGUGACAUGAACCCUCCACGCAUGAUGAACAGCUUGUAUCUAUAACCCAGCAGCUACACGGGCGUCAACGAAGCAGAGAUUUGUCUUUCUUAAAAUGAAGAGGAGGGUCUACGGGAGCUGUUCAUUGUGAAAAAUCUUAUUACAGAGCGGGGGAACAGAUGUGGCUCAGCCUUUGUUUAAGAGACAAACCUACACUGGAGAAAACCGAGAUUUCAGGGAUGCUUUGAAGAAGCUUUUUGGGUUUCGUUUGAUGACACAUCUCAGCCCCAGAUUUCAAAGCUGCUGAUAUCAGGAUGCAGCAGCUGAAGUCGCUUCAGCUUAAAUAAAAAAGUUCCCCUGCUGCCUUACAAAUGUGAGUUCACUGAACUAAAGUUAAAUAAGUUUAAGGAACCUGAAAAAACAUUAAAAUGAAGACAAAUAAACAACUCUUUAUUAUGAUUAAUGUUAGCGUCUGGGUUGUUUUACAGUUAGUUUGCAGGCUGCUUUAUUGUGCAUUAAAUUAUUGUUUUUAUCUAAGGAACAAGCUCAAUUUAAUUCAACA
Larimichthys crocea (large yellow croaker) is the source of this 1774-nucleotide long non-coding RNA. RefSeq lists it as uncharacterized. NCBI's taxonomy places the organism in Eukaryota, Metazoa, Chordata, Actinopteri, Sciaenidae. The transcript has 3 exons. The record is from RefSeq and is a predicted model, not a curated record.